UGGGGAAUUUUGCACAAUGGGGGAAACCCUGAUGCAGCGACGCCGCGUGAUUUAGAAGGCCUUCGGGUUGUAAAAAUCUUUUCUAUGGUAAGAAAAUGACAGUACCAUAGGAAUAAGGACCGGCUAAUUACGUGCCAGCAGCCGCGGUAAUACGUAAGGUCCGAGCGUUGUCCGGAAUCAUUGGGCGUAAAGGGUACGUAGGCGGGUAAGCAAGUUAGAAGUGAAAUCCUGUAGCUCAACUACAGUAAGCUUUUAAAACUGCUCAUCUUGAGAUAUGGAAGGGAAAGUGGAAUUCCUAGUGUAGCGGUGAAAUGCGCAGAUAUUAGGAGGAAUACCGGUGGCGAAGGCGACUUUCUGGCCAUAAUCUGACGCUGAGGUACGAAAGCGUGGGUAGCAAACAGG
This 402-nucleotide ribosomal RNA is filed under the name Bacteroidota bacterium. Its description in RNAcentral is "Bacteroidetes bacterium partial 16S ribosomal RNA". It matches the Rfam family "Bacterial small subunit ribosomal RNA", at positions 355 to 776 of the family's 1533-position model. Lineage: Bacteria; Pseudomonadati; Bacteroidota. The record is from RNAcentral.